RNAcentral lists this ribosomal RNA (497 nucleotides) under uncultured bacterium. RNAcentral describes it as "partial 16S ribosomal RNA". It matches the Rfam family "Bacterial small subunit ribosomal RNA", at positions 28 to 507 of the family's 1533-position model. The record is from RNAcentral.
GAUGAACGCUGGCGGCGUGCCUAAUACAUGCAAGUCGAGCGAACAGACGAGGAGCUUGCUCCUCUGAUGUUAGCGGCGGACGGGUGAGUAACACGUGGAUAACCUACCUAUAAGACUGGGAUAACUUCGGGAAACCGGAGCUAAUACCGGAUAACAUGUUGAACCGCAUGGUUCAACAGUGAAAGACGGUCUUGCUGUCACUUAUAGAUGGAUCCGCGCCGCAUUAGCUAGUUGGUAAGGUAACGGCUUACCAAGGCAACGAUGCGUAGCCGACCUGAGAGGGUGAUCGGCCACACUGGAACUGAGACACGGUCCAGACUCCUACGGGAGGCAGCAGUAGGGAAUCUUCCGCAAUGGGCGAAAGCCUGACGGAGCAACGCCGCGUGAGUGAAGAAGGUCUUCGGAUCGUAAAACUCUGUUAUUAGGGAAGAACAAAUGUGUAAGUAACUAUGCACGUCUUGACGGUACCUAAGCAGAAAGCCACGGCUAACUACGUG